Molecule: non-coding RNA, 92 nt
Organism: Taxawa tesnikishii (nom. ined.)
Lineage: Eukaryota; Fungi; Ascomycota; Dothideomycetes; Dothideales
Source: the annotation of a GenBank genome assembly
GCUUCGAUGGUGUAGUGGUAUCACACUCGUCUCACAUACUUCAUAAUGUGGGCAUCCACGAGAGGCCGCGGGAUCGAAGCCCGCUCGGAGUA